GGAUUGCCUCAGUAACGGCGAGUGAAGCGGCAACAGCUCAAAUUUGAAAUCUGGCUCUUUCAGGGUCCGAGUUGUAAUUUGUAGAAGAUGCUUUGAGUGUGGCUCCGGUCUAAGUUCCUUGGAACAGGACGUCAUAGAGGGUGAGAAUCCCGUACGUGACUGGGUGCCUCCGCUCAUGUAAAGCUCUUUCGACGAGUCGAGUUGUUUGGGAAUGCAGCUCAAAAUGGGUGGUAAAUUUCAUCUAAAGCUAAAUAUUGGCCAGAGACCGAUAGCGCACAAGUAGAGUGAUCGAAAGAUGAAAAGCACUUUGGAAAGAGAGUUAAACAGUACGUGAAAUUGUUGAAAGGGAAGCGCUUGCAACCAGACUUGCAUGCAGUUGAUCAUCCGAGCUUUUGCCCGGUGCACUCGAUUGUAUUCAGGCCAGCAUCGGUUUCGGUGGGCGGAUAAAGGCCUUGGGAAUGUAGCUUCUUUCGGGGAGUGUUAUAGCCCUCGGUGCAAUGCGCCCUAUCGGGACCGAGGACCGCGCUUCGGCUAGGAUGCUGGCGUAAUGGUUGUAAGCGACCCGUCUUGAAACACGGACCAAGGAGUCUAACAUCUAUGCGAGUGUUUGGGUGUCAAACCCAUACGCGUAAUGAAAGUGAACGGAGGUGAGAACCCUUAAGGGUGCAUCAUCGACCGAUCCUGAUGUCUUCGGAUGGAUUUGAGUAAGAGCAUAGCUGUUGGGACCCGAAAGAUGGUGAACUAUGCCUGAAUAGGGUGAAGCCAGAGGAAACUCUGGUGGAGGCUCGCAGCGGUUCUGACGUGCAAAUCGAUCGUCAAAUUUGGGGUAUAGGGGCGAAAGACUAAUCGAAC
Molecule: ribosomal RNA, 852 nt
Filed under: Hyaloscypha vitreola
Lineage: Eukaryota; Fungi; Ascomycota; Leotiomycetes; Helotiales; Hyaloscyphaceae
Description: eukaryotic LSU rRNA
Rfam family: Eukaryotic large subunit ribosomal RNA
Source: RNAcentral